AAGACUAUACUUUCAGGGAUCAUUUCUAUAGUUUGUUACUAGAGAAGUUUCUCUGAUCGUGUAGAGUACCGGAAACCACGAGGAGGAGACACAAUGUUCUCACCUGAGCGUGAAGCUGGCUUUGUGUGCUGUCAUGUGGCAGCUGCCAUUUGCCAUUGAUGAUCGUUCUUCCUCCUCCUCUGAGAGAGGAAGAGGGUGGGGGCGUCGUCUGAGUGGUU
Castor canadensis (American beaver) is the source of this 218-nucleotide small nucleolar RNA. The record is from Ensembl. NCBI's taxonomy places the organism in Eukaryota, Metazoa, Chordata, Mammalia, Rodentia, Castoridae.